GCUGUGUCUAGCUAAAGGAUUGUAAAAUGGACCAAUCAGCACUUUGUAAAAUGGACCCAACAGCAGGAUGUGGGCGGGGACAAAUAACAGAAUAAAUGCUGGCCACCCCAGCCAGCAGCAGCAACCUGCUUGGGUCCCCUUGCAUGCUGUGGAAGCUUUGUUCUUUAGCUCUUCACAGUAUAUCUUGCUGCUGCUCACUCUUUGGGUCGGCACCACCUUUAAGAGCUGUAACACUCACUGUGAAGGUCCACGGCUUCAUUCCUGAAGUCAGUGAGACCAUGAACCCACCAGAAGGAAGAAACCGCAGACACAUCUGAACAUCUGAAGGAACAAACUCUGGACACACCAUGUUUAAGAGCUGUAACUCUCACCAUGAAGAUCUGCAGCUUCAUUCUUGAAGUCAGCGAGACGAAGAACCCACCGGAAGGAAUAAAUUCCAGACACAUUUUGGCAACCACGAAGGGACUAUCACCUAUCACCAAGCAGAUCAAGGCCAUCAAGCUACAGAUGGUCUUACAAAUGGAAUCCCAAAUGAGCUCACCUAACAACUUCUACCGAGGAGCCCUGGACUGACCCACUGGCCCUUUGACUGGCCUAAAGAGUUCCUCUCUGGAGGACACUACAACUGUGGGGUACCUUCUUCACCCCUAUCCAGCAGGAAGUAGCUAGAGUGGUCAUUGCCCAAUUCCCAACAGCAGUUGGGGUGUCCUGUUUAGAGGGUGUAUUAAGAGGUGAAGCCAGCUGGACUUCCUGGGUCAAGUGGGUACUUCGAGAACUUUUCUGUCUAGCUAGAGGAUUCUAAACGCACCAAUCAGCACUCCAUGACUAAGGGAUUGUAAAUGCACCAGUCAGCACUCUGUGACUAGCUAAAGGAUUGUAAAUGAACCAAUCAGCACUCUGUAAAAACACACCAAUCAGCACUCCAUGACUAGCUAAAGGAUUGUAAAUGCACCAAUCGGCACUCUGUAAAAAUGCACCAAUCAGUGCUCUGUGUCUAGCUAAAGCAUUGUAAAAUGCACCAAUCAGCACUCUGUAAAAUGGACCAACCAGUGCUCUGUAAAAUGGACCAAUCAGCAGGACGUGGGCAGGGACAAAUAAGGGGAUAAAAGCUGGCCACCCCAGCCAGCAGCGGCAACCUGUUCGGGUCCUCUUCCAUGCUGUGGAAGCUUUGUUCUUUCACUCUUCACAAUAAAUCUUCCUGCUGCUCACUCUUUGGGUCUGCACCACCUUUAAGAGCUGUAACACUCACUGUGAAGGUCUGCGGCUUUAUUCUUGAAGUGAGCGAGACCACAAACCCACUGGAAGGAAGAAACUCCAGACACAUCUGAACAUCUGAAGGAACAAAUUCCGGGCUCAGCAUCUUUAAGAGCUGUAACACUCACUGCGAAGGUCCGCAGCUUCAUUCUUGAAGUCAGCAAGACCAAGAACCCAUCGGAAGGAAUAAAUUCCAGACACACAUAAACAUAUUGAUAUGAGUGUAUUGUAAAAAUUUGCAUAGAUAGCACAAAGAUGAAUUCUUUAAUAACAUUUGUGAUAUUUUGAGAAAAACUAAAUUACUUCAAUUUCUUAUUAUUUAUACAACAUCUAAACUUCAAGUGUAUUAUAAGACACAAAAAUGUGUUUAUAACACUGCAAUUGAUAGAACAUACCCAGUUGACCUUGAUAUGAAUCUUUUGUCAUGUGCUGACCUUGUAUCAACAGAGUUUCCAGAAACACGGAGUAACUUUAAAGGCAUUGGGAAAUAAAAAUAACAUUUGAUCUUUAAAAACAUAAAAUGACAAAUUAAAAAAAGAAAAACAAAGUAAGAAUUUAAUUAGCUGGUCUUGAUACCAAAUAUGAAUUAAAUAUUUUACAUGAGUUGUUAAGACUGUUUUCUUUUUCUUUUCUUUAAUUUGAUCAAAAUAAAAACAAGACAUGCAUAACCCAUAGAAAUUUGUCAUGUGGCAAAUCUAAGCUUUGUCGAUCUAAAUAACACAGACAGACUCUCUAAAAGAAAACGACAUUUACCUGUGAAUGGUCAUUGCAAUGGAAAUAUAUGUACCAUAAUAAACUAUGUGCAUUUCAAAGAGGUAAAGGAAAACUAAGAUGUUUAAAAGAAAAAUGAGCAGGAUUUCAAAAUUAUUGCAGUUAUUUUCCUUGGACACAGUAGUCAAUAGCAAGGCUGGUAUGAGUCCAGGGUUGAACAGGUAGUUGCUGGGCAGAUGUUCCCGUAGAAUAUAAUUUUUACAUAAUGCUGUGGUGGCCUUCGUGCAAAGUUGUGAUUUUUGCAGAGUUUUUAGUGAUAGUUGUUAUCAG
Molecule: long non-coding RNA, 2295 nt
Filed under: Homo sapiens (human)
Lineage: Eukaryota; Metazoa; Chordata; Mammalia; Primates; Hominidae
Description: HSALNT0180178
Source: RNAcentral